Molecule: ribosomal RNA, 440 nt
Filed under: uncultured bacterium
Lineage: Bacteria
Description: partial 16S ribosomal RNA
Rfam family: Bacterial small subunit ribosomal RNA
Source: RNAcentral
CCUACGGGAGGCUGCAGUGGGGAAUAUUGCACAAUGGGGGAAACCCUGAUGCAGCGACGCCGCGUGAGUGAAGAAGUAUUUCGGUACGUAAAGCUCUAUCAGCAGGGAAGAAAAUGACGGUACCUGACUAAGAAGCCCCGGCUAACUACGUGCCAGCAGCCGCGGUAAUACGUAGGGGGCAAGCGUUAUCCGGAUUUACUGGGUGUAAAGGGAGCGUAGACGGCAGCGCAAGUCUGGAGUGAAAUCCCAUGGCUUAACCAUGGAGCUGCUUUGGAAACUGUGCAGCUAGAGUGCAGGAGAGGUAAGCGGAAUUCCUAGUGUAGCGGUGAAAUGCGUAGAUAUUAGGAGGAACACCAGUGGCGAAGGCGGCUUACUGGACUGUAACUGACGUUGAGGCUCGAAAGCGUGGGGAGCAAACAGGAUUAGAUACCCUAGUAGUC